RNAcentral lists this small nuclear RNA (303 nucleotides) under Propithecus coquereli (Coquerel's sifaka). RNAcentral's name for it is "7SK RNA (ENSPCOG00000006545.1)". It matches the Rfam family "7SK RNA". From Rfam's summary of the family: 7SK was discovered as an abundant small nuclear RNA in the mid-70s but a possible function has only recently been suggested. Two independent studies have found that 7SK RNA binds the CDK9/cyclin T complex (known as elongation factor P-TEFb). The record is from Rfam by way of RNAcentral. Lineage: Eukaryota; Metazoa; Chordata; Mammalia; Primates; Indriidae.
GGAUGUGAGGGCGAUCUGGCUGUGAUACCUGUCACCCCAUUGAUGGCCAGAGCUGAUUCAGCUGAUCUGGCUCACUAGGUGGGCGUCCCCUUCCUCCCUCAUUGCUCUAUGUGUGUCCCUCCGGAAGCUGCAUGCUUGGUCAAAGAGGAUGACCUUCCCAGAUAGAGAAGGACCAUUAUUCCAUCAAGGGUAUAGGUGCAGCUGCAGUCCCUUGUUAGAAUCUCCAAACAAGCUCUCAAAGUGGUGUGAAAGAUACAUUUUUCUCGUAUGCAUUGUUUUGCAGUGGAAGUGGAGAAUAUAAAU